Asparagus officinalis (garden asparagus) is the source of this 245-nucleotide long non-coding RNA. RefSeq lists it as uncharacterized. The transcript has 3 exons. NCBI's taxonomy places the organism in Eukaryota, Viridiplantae, Streptophyta, Magnoliopsida, Asparagales, Asparagaceae. The record is from RefSeq and is a predicted model, not a curated record.
AUCGGGAUAAGAUCACGGCAAAUCUCGAGUUAGUGGAGGGAUUUGAGAACGCAUCCAAGGAGGCUGCAUCUGUCUACAUUUCGCAGGAGGAGGAACAAACCGAGCCAGACCCUCACAUGCUUUCUGCAGAGGAGAACAUCAAUCUCACACAGAACCUGAUGGGUCAUAAUAGGAGAGGAAGAUAUCCUCUGCAUGGUGUCGGAGCUUCACCCGGUAUAAGCAUUAGAUCGUCCACAACAUCCUCC